UUGUUGAAGACAUUUCCUGUCUCUUUCUGGGUGGGGGGAUUAUGUACCUGCUUUAUUGAGGACAGACUCACAUAUGACUGGUUUGGGCCAAUGAAAAUUUAGCAGAGGUGACCUGUGCCACUUCUAAGCAGAAGCUUUGAGAACCACUGUGUCAUUCCACCAUUUUCUCUUUUUCUAUGCCCUGAGCCCAGUAAUGCCCCAGGUCAUAGACACGCUGAUAGCCCAGGUCCCAAAGUUAAUAGCACUUGGAGCAAAGCAGUACCCCCACCACAACAGAACAGUUAAGUGAGCAAGAACUAAAUCUCGAAACCCCUGAG
RNAcentral lists this long non-coding RNA (317 nucleotides) under Homo sapiens (human). RNAcentral's name for it is "non-protein coding lnc-MSI2-3:1". Lineage: Eukaryota; Metazoa; Chordata; Mammalia; Primates; Hominidae. The record is from RNAcentral.